GCCCGAUUAACUCAGUUGGUCAGAGUGUCGUACUAAUACAGCGAGCCUUUGCGGGUCCAUGUAUCUGGUCAUGCGAAAGUCGACAGUUCAAGCCUGUCAUUGGGCA
This is a non-coding RNA of Podospora conica, 106 nucleotides long. The record is from the annotation of a GenBank genome assembly. Lineage: Eukaryota; Fungi; Ascomycota; Sordariomycetes; Sordariales; Podosporaceae.